GGCAGUUCUCGGGUGACGCACUCCGGAAUCGGGCUCCCUCCUCUCUGGUUCCAGGUGCGUCACCCAAGAACCACA
Myotis lucifugus (little brown bat) is the source of this 75-nucleotide non-coding RNA. NCBI's taxonomy places the organism in Eukaryota, Metazoa, Chordata, Mammalia, Chiroptera, Vespertilionidae. The record is from Rfam.